CCUACGGGGGGCUGCAGUGGGGAAUAUUGGACAAUGGGCGAAAGCCUGAUCCAGCCAUGCCGCGUGUGUGAAGAAGGCCUUCGGGUUGUAAAGCACUUUCAGUGGGGAAGAAAGCCUUGGGGCUAAUACCCUCGAGGAAGGACAUCACCCACAGAAGAAGCACCGGCUAACUCCGUGCCAGCAGCCGCGGUAAUACGGAGGGUGCGGGCGUUAAUCGGAAUUACUGGGCGUAAAGCGCGCGUAGGCGGUCUGAUAAGCCGGUUGUGAAAGCCCCGGGCUCAACCUGGGAACGGCAUCCGGAACUGUCAGGCUAGAGGGCAGGAGAGGAAGGUAGAAUUCCCGGUGUAGCGGUGAAAUGCGUAGAGAUCGGGAGGAAUACCAGUGGCGAAGGCGGCCUUCUGGACUGACACUGACGCUGAGGUGCGAAAGCGUGGGUAGCAAACAGGAUUAGAUACCCUGGUAGUC
This 465-nucleotide ribosomal RNA is filed under the name Vreelandella stevensii. Its description in RNAcentral is "partial 16S ribosomal RNA". It matches the Rfam family "Bacterial small subunit ribosomal RNA", at positions 338 to 795 of the family's 1533-position model. The record is from RNAcentral. Lineage: Bacteria; Pseudomonadati; Pseudomonadota; Gammaproteobacteria; Oceanospirillales; Halomonadaceae.